UAGUCCACGCCGUAAACGAUGAUAACUAGCCGUUGGAUUUAUUCCAGUGGCGCAGCUAACGCAUUAAGUUAUCCGCCUGGGGAGUACGGCCGCAAGGCUAAAACUCAAAUGAAUUGACGGGGACCCGCACAAGCGGUGGAGCAUGUGGUUUAAUUCGAUGCAACGCGAAAAACCUUACCUACACUUGACAUACUUGGAAUCCUUUAGAGAUAAAGGAGUGCCUUUUGGAAUCAAGAUACAGGUGCUGCAUGGCUGUCGUCAGCUCGUGUCGUGAGAUGUUGGGUUAAGUCCUAUAACGAGCGCAACCCUUACCCUUAUUUGCCAGCGCGUAAUGGCGGGAACUAUAGGGAGACUGCCGGGUGAAACCCGGAGGAAGGCGGGGACGAGGGUCAAGUCAUCAUGGCCCUUAUGGAUUGGGGCUACACACGUGCUACAAUGGGGAAGUACAGAGGGGACGCUAAAGCG
Molecule: ribosomal RNA, 465 nt
Filed under: uncultured bacterium
Lineage: Bacteria
Description: bacterial SSU rRNA
Rfam family: Bacterial small subunit ribosomal RNA
Source: RNAcentral